Molecule: long non-coding RNA, 1110 nt
Organism: Saccostrea echinata
Lineage: Eukaryota; Metazoa; Mollusca; Bivalvia; Ostreida; Ostreidae
Exons: 3
Source: RefSeq, a predicted model, not a curated record
UGUGUAUUGGAUUUGCAAGACAAAAGAUGAUGAAUUAAAUAAUUAAUUAAUCAGUUUCAAGUCCAAAGAUCGAAAAGCACCAUUUAGGUCAAGGUCAACUCCAAAUAUUGGUUAAAAUCUAAUUUGUACCAACAACAAUCCAGAAGAGGGCAGUCUUAAUAGGACACCCAUAAAAGAGCUAAACAGAGCUCUGUAAUAAACGACACCUUUACCAGCUGAAGAAUCACCGCUCAUCUGUUGAGAGUAUUUUUUUGUUUGGCCUACAUAGAUGUUGAUGUUUAAAGAAAGAGAUCUUCACUGAAUUAUUUUUACAUAGAAAUUAAUCUUCUCAGCUUAAGCUGUAAGCUCAAGAGAGCUUUUCUGAUUAUCCAUCGUGCAGCAUCUGUUUGUCUCUAAACUGUAAUCAUUUCAGAUUUCUUCCUGAGAACCACUGGUUCCCCCUUCGAAGAGAUUAUCAAGUAGGGCAAAAAUGGGGUGGGGGAGAGGUUAUUUAAAAAUCUUCUUCUCAAGAACCUCUUGGCCAAAAAGAUGAAAGGUUUAUGACAAAGGAUAGUGUGAAUUCUAAAAUUUUCAAAUCGUGGCGACCAUGGAUUGCAUAGGUCCACAGAUUGGGAUUUAACUUUAACAUGAAAUAUAUAGGAAUUCAAAUUUUUUUUUUGAUGUAGCAUAGAUUUUGAAUUUAUCAUUAAAUCAAAGCACAAGUUUUACAUAUGAAUUGAUUAGUCGAGCAUCCUCAGGGUAGUGCAAAAUUAACUUCAUUUGAAUCAUGGAAUCGUAAUGGGGGAUCCAAGUUUCGCUGGGGAAUAAAGAAAAAAUUAACAAUCUUUUUUUCAGGAACAGUAGGACCAAGACUAAUUAUGAUGCAUUUGGCCAAGUGUAAAAACUAUACAGGAAGAAAUUGUUAUCAUAAAAAUGAAGAAAUAUUUUUUUUUAUUUUAGAUAUUCUGAAGAAAACAGGUCCAAAAUAACUCAGGUGAGCUAUGUGGCACAUAUUCCUUCGUUUAUUAUAUAUGUGCAAAGAGUAUUGUUUUGUCUCCCAGGCAAAUACUAUGUAGUAUGAAAAACUUUUAUUCUUGCAUUUUAGUAUUGUUUUUAAUCUUCAAAGGUCCU